This 272-nucleotide long non-coding RNA is filed under the name Capsella rubella. RNAcentral describes it as "long non-coding RNA (CRUB_LNC003975)". The record is from RNAcentral. Lineage: Eukaryota; Viridiplantae; Streptophyta; Magnoliopsida; Brassicales; Brassicaceae.
AUAAACUCGUUGGAAUCUUAUGUGAGAGCAGAAUUGUAAUAGGUAAGCAAAGCAUGGGGCAUUACAGUAACUUGAGAGGCAUCACCAGUGGGAAAAUACGUUGGAAGAAUUUAGGAAAAGCAAAUGAAAAAAAAAAAGAAGAAAGGAACCGGCCCUGCCUGAGCAUGACCUUGUUAAAGCAGAAAAAAAGCCAGUAUUCAGACCCUACCAUUCGUAAAGAUACAUCAUGAAAUAAAAUGCCUCGAUACCUGCUCUCUCUCUCUCUCUUUCUC